This 71-nucleotide transfer RNA is filed under the name Spirochaetaceae bacterium. RNAcentral describes it as "tRNA-Gln". It matches the Rfam family "tRNA". From Rfam's summary of the family: Transfer RNA (tRNA) molecules are approximately 80 nucleotides in length. The record is from RNAcentral. Lineage: Bacteria; Pseudomonadati; Spirochaetota; Spirochaetia; Spirochaetales; Spirochaetaceae.
UUCCCGGUGGUGUAAUGGUAGCACCGCAGAUUCUGGCUCUGCUGGUGGGGGUUCAAGUCCUCCCCGGGAAG